This 403-nucleotide ribosomal RNA is filed under the name uncultured bacterium. RNAcentral describes it as "bacterial SSU rRNA". It matches the Rfam family "Bacterial small subunit ribosomal RNA", at positions 362 to 758 of the family's 1533-position model. The record is from RNAcentral.
UAUUGCACAAUGGGCGCAAGCCUGAUGCAGCCAUGCCGCGUGUGUGAAGAAGGCCUUCGGGUUGUAAAGCACUUUCACUCAGGAGGAAAGGUUAGUAGUUAAUACCUGCUAGCUGUGACGUUACUGACAGAAGAAGCACCGGCUAACUCCGUGCCAGCAGCCGCGGUAAUACGGGGGGUGCGAGCGUUAAUCGGAAUUACUGGGCGUAAAGCGUACGCAGGCGGUUUGUUAAGCGAGAUGUGAAAGCCCCGGGCUCAACCUGGGAACUGCAUUUCGAACUGGCAAACUAGAGUGUGAUAGAGGGUGGUAGAAUUUCAGGUGUAGCGGUGAAAUGCGUAGAGAUUUGAAGGAAUACCGAUGGCGAAGGCAGCCACCUGGGUCAACACUGACGCUCAUUACGAAA